CCUACGGGAGGCAGCAGUGAGGAAUAUUGGUCAAUGGGCGUAAGCCUGAACCAGCCAAGUCGCGUGAGGGAUGAAGGUUCUAUGGAUCGUAAACCUCUUUUAUAAGGGAAUAAAGUGCGGGACGUGUCCCGUUUUGUAUGUACCUUAUGAAUAAGGAUCGGCUAACUCCGUGCCAGCAGCCGCGGUAAUACGGAGGAUCCGAGCGUUAUCCGGAUUUAGUGGGUUUAAAGGGUGCGUAGGCGGCCUUUUAAGUCAGCGGUGAAAGUCUGUGGCUCAACCAUAGAAUUGCCGUUGAAACUGGGAGGCUUGAGUAUGUUUGAGGCAGGCGGAAUGCGUGGUGUAGCGGUGAAAUGCUUAGAUAUCACGCAGAACCCCGAUUGCGAAGGCAGCCUACCAAGCCAUGACUGACGCUGAUGCACGAAAGCGUGGGGAUCAAACAGGAUUAGAUACCCCUGUAGUC
RNAcentral lists this ribosomal RNA (460 nucleotides) under uncultured bacterium. Its description in RNAcentral is "partial 16S ribosomal RNA". It matches the Rfam family "Bacterial small subunit ribosomal RNA", at positions 338 to 795 of the family's 1533-position model. The record is from RNAcentral.